Molecule: ribosomal RNA, 253 nt
Filed under: uncultured bacterium
Lineage: Bacteria
Description: partial 16S ribosomal RNA
Rfam family: Bacterial small subunit ribosomal RNA
Source: RNAcentral
UACGUAGGGUGCGAGCGUUAAUCGGAGUUACUGGGCGUAAAGCGUGCGCAGGCGGUGAGCUGUGUCCGAUGUGAAAGCCCCGAGCUCAACUUGGGAAUGGCAUUGGAAACUGGCGGGCUGGAGUGUGGCAGAGGGGGGUGGAAUUCCACGUGUAGCAGUGAAAUGCGUAGAGAUGUGGAGGAACACCGAUGGCGAAGGCAGCCCCCUGGGCCAACACUGACGCUCAGGCACGAAAGCGUGGGGAGCAAACAGG